RNAcentral lists this ribosomal RNA (383 nucleotides) under uncultured bacterium. RNAcentral describes it as "bacterial SSU rRNA". It matches the Rfam family "Bacterial small subunit ribosomal RNA", at positions 62 to 445 of the family's 1533-position model. The record is from RNAcentral.
UCGAGCGGCAGGGCAGCAAUGCCCCUAGAGCGGCGGACUGGUGAGUAACGCGUGGGUGAUCUACCUUGGGCAUGGGGAUAGCCAUUAGAAAUAGUGGGUAAUACCGAAUACGUUCGUUACCGUGAGGGUAACGAGGAAAGGCGCUACGGCGCCGGCCUGGAGAUGAGCUUGCGUCUGAUUAGCUAGUUGGUGAGGUAAUAGCUCACCAAGGCGAUGAUCGGUAGCCGGCCUGAGAGGGUGUACGGCCACACUGGGACUGAGAUACGGCCCAGACUCCUACGGGAGGCAGCAGCUAAGAAUAUUCCGCAAUGGACGAAAGUCUGACGGAGCGACGCCGCGUGGAUGAUGAAGGCCGAAAGGUUGUAAAGUCCUUUUGCUGGGGA